Ictidomys tridecemlineatus (thirteen-lined ground squirrel) is the source of this 72-nucleotide non-coding RNA. The record is from Rfam. Lineage: Eukaryota; Metazoa; Chordata; Mammalia; Rodentia; Sciuridae.
GGGGUUGUGGCUCAGUGGUGGAGCACUUGCCUAACAGGUGUGAGGCACUGGGUUCAAUCCCCAGCAACACAU